RNAcentral lists this non-coding RNA (161 nucleotides) under Veillonella sp. AS16. Its description in RNAcentral is "putative glmS glucosamine-6-phosphate activated ribozyme". It matches the Rfam family "glmS glucosamine-6-phosphate activated ribozyme aptamer". Rfam says of the family: This entry contains a glucosamine-6-phosphate activated ribozyme that is found in the mRNA for GlmS. Lineage: Bacteria; Bacillati; Bacillota; Negativicutes; Veillonellales; Veillonellaceae. The record is from RNAcentral.
UAAAGGCGAAUAGCGCAGGUACCCGGCGAAGGCAGUCGUCAGGGUCGACGAGGUGAAGGGUUAUCGAAUCAUCAGCGGAUGCUCUUCCGGCCUCUCAGGUCGUAACAAGUAAAGCAAAGCCAAUCGGUGACGAUUGAACAAAGGUUACUUGAAAGAGAUGU